Non-coding RNA from Podarcis lilfordi (Lilford's wall lizard), 73 nucleotides. The record is from the annotation of a GenBank genome assembly. NCBI's taxonomy places the organism in Eukaryota, Metazoa, Chordata, Lepidosauria, Squamata, Lacertidae.
GCUGGAAUAGCUCAGUUGGUAGAGCAUGAGACGUUUGAUCUCAGGAUGGUGGGUUUGAGUCCCACAUUGGGCA